This 296-nucleotide long non-coding RNA is filed under the name Homo sapiens (human). Its description in RNAcentral is "LNC_000315". Lineage: Eukaryota; Metazoa; Chordata; Mammalia; Primates; Hominidae. The record is from RNAcentral.
CUCCUUUUUAAUUUGAUCAGUUCUUCAUAUUCUCUGCUCAAUCCAAAGGUUUCAUUUUCUUCCUCUUCCUCUCCCAUUUCCUGUCUCAGUUGUUCAAAUUCUUGUUUCUCCAUUUCUAGCUUAUGCUUCCGUUCCUCCUCUGUUCGUCGUUUUUCUUCUUCCAUUUUUUGUUUUAAUAAUUCUUCAAAAUUAAUUUCCAGUUUUCCCGGUGUAAGAAAUUCUUGAGAGAUUGUCUUAUACAUCUCUGGGGAGUCAUCAUCUACUACCUAUUUAAAAUAAUUAUUUUAUCACUCUGG